Molecule: ribosomal RNA, 490 nt
Filed under: uncultured bacterium
Lineage: Bacteria
Description: partial 16S ribosomal RNA
Rfam family: Bacterial small subunit ribosomal RNA
Source: RNAcentral
AUUGAACGCUGGCGGCAUGCUUUACACAUGCAAGUCGGACGGCAGCACAGAGAAGCUUGCUUCUUGGGUGGCGAGUGGCGAACGGGUGAGUAAUAUAUCGGAACGUACCGAGUAAUGGGGGAUAACUAAUCGAAAGAUUAGCUAAUACCGCAUAUUCUCUGAGGAGGAAAGCAGGGGACCUUCGGGCCUUGCGUUAUUCGAGCGGCCGAUAUCUGAUUAGCUAGUUGGUGGGGUAAAGGCCUACCAAGGCGACGAUCAGUAGCGGGUCUGAGAGGAUGAUCCGCCACACUCGGACUGAGACACGGCCCAGAUUCCUACGGGAGGCAGCAGUGGGGAAUUUUGGAGAAUGUGCGCAAGCCUGAUCCAGCCAUGCCGCGUGUCUGAAGAAGGCCUUCGGGUUGUAAAGGACUUUUGUCAGGGAAGAAAAGGCUGUUGCUAAUACCGACAGCUGAUGACGGUACCUGAAGAAUAAGCACCGGCUAACUACGUG